UUAAGCGACUAAGCGUACACGGUGGAUGCCCUGGCAGUCAGAGGCGAUGAAGGACGUGCUAAUCUGCGAUAAGCGUCGGUGAGGUGAUAUGAACCGUUAUAACCGGCGAUUUCCGAAUGGGGAAACCCAGUGUGUUUCGACACACUAUCAUUAACUGAAUCCAUAGGUUAAUGAGGCGAACCGGGGGAACUGAAACAUCUAAGUACCCCGAGGAAAAGAAAUCAACCGAGAUUCCCCCAGUAGCGGCGAGCGAACGGGGAGGAGCCCAGAGCCUGAAUCAGUGUGUGUGUUAGUGGAAGCGUCUGGAAAGGCGUGCGAUACAGGGUGACAGCCCCGUACACAAAAAUGCACAUAUUGUGAGCUCGAUGAGUAGGGCGGGACACGUGGUAUCCUGUCUGAAUAUGGGGGGACCAUCCUCCAAGGCUAAAUACUCCUGACUGACCGAUAGUGAACCAGUACCGUGAGGGAAAGGCGAAAAGAACCCCGGCGAGGGGAGUGAAAAAGAACCUGAAACCGUGUACGUACAAGCAGUGGGAGCCUCUUAAUGGGGUGACUGCGUACCUUUUGUAUAAUGGGUCAGCGACUUAUAUUCUGUAGCAAGGUUAACCGAAUAGGGGAGCCGAAGGGAAACCGAGUCUUAACUGGGCGUUAAGUUGCAGGGUAUAGACCCGAAACCCGGUGAUCUAGCCAUGGGCAGGUUGAAGGUUGGGUAACACUAACUGGAGGACCGAACCGACUAAUGUUGAAAAAUUAGCGGAUGACUUGUGGCUGGGGGUGAAAGGCCAAUCAAACCGGGAGAUAGCUGGUUCUCCCCGAAAGCUAUUUAGGUAGCGCCUCGUGAAUUCAUCUCCGGGGGUAGAGCACUGUUUCGGCAAGGGGGUCAUCCCGACUUACCAACCCGAUGCAAACUGCGAAUACCGGAGAAUGUUAUCACGGGAGACACACGGCGGGUGCUAACGUCCGUCGUGAAGAGGGAAACAACCCAGACCGCCAGCUAAGGUCCCAAAGUCAUGGUUAAGUGGGAAACGAUGUGGGAAGGCCCAGACAGCCAGGAUGUUGGCUUAGAAGCAGCCAUCAUUUAAAGAAAGCGUAAUAGCUCACUGGUCGAGUCGGCCUGCGCGGAAGAUGUAACGGGGCUAAACCAUGCACCGAAGCUGCGGCAGCGACACUAUGUGUUGUUGGGUAGGGGAGCGUUCUGUAAGCCUGUGAAGGUGGCCUGUGAGGGUUGCUGGAGGUAUCAGAAGUGCGAAUGCUGACAUAAGUAACGAUAAAGCGGGUGAAAAGCCCGCUCGCCGGAAGACCAAGGGUUCCUGUCCAACGUUAAUCGGGGCAGGGUGAGUCGACCCCUAAGGCGAGGCCGAAAGGCGUAGUCGAUGGGAAACAGGUUAAUAUUCCUGUACUUGGUCUUACUGCGAAGGGGGGACGGAGAAGGCUAUGUUGGCCGGGCGACGGUUGUCCCGGUUUAAGCGUGUAGGCUGGUUUUCCAGGCAAAUCCGGAAAACCAAGGCUGAGGCGUGAUGACGAGGCACUACGGUGCUGAAGCGACAAAUGCCCUGCUUCCAGGAAAAGCCUCUAAGCAUCAGGUAACAUCAAAUCGUACCCCAAACCGACACAGGUGGUCAGGUAGAGAAUACCAAGGCGCUUGAGAGAACUCGGGUGAAGGAACUAGGCAAAAUGGUGCCGUAACUUCGGGAGAAGGCACGCUGAUAUGUAGGUGAAGCGACUUGCUCGUGGAGCUGAAAUCAGUCGAAGAUACCAGCUGGCUGCAACUGUUUAUUAAAAACACAGCACUGUGCAAACACGAAAGUGGACGUAUACGGUGUGACGCCUGCCCGGUGCCGGAAGGUUAAUUGAUGGGGUUAGCGGCAACGCGAAGCUCUUGAUCGAAGCCCCGGUAAACGGCGGCCGUAACUAUAACGGUCCUAAGGUAGCGAAAUUCCUUGUCGGGUAAGUUCCGACCUGCACGAAUGGCGUAAUGAUGGCCAGGCUGUCUCCACCCGAGACUCAGUGAAAUUGAACUCGCUGUGAAGAUGCAGUGUACCCGCGGCAAGACGGAAAGACCCCGUGAACCUUUACUAUAGCUUGACACUGAACAUUGAGCCUUGAUGUGUAGGAUAGGUGGGAGGCUUUGAAGUGUGGACGCCAGUCUGCAUGGAGCCGACCUUGAAAUACCACCCUUUAAUGUUUGAUGUUCUAACGUUGGCCCGUAAUCCGGGUUGCGGACAGUGUCUGGUGGGUAGUUUGACUGGGGCGGUCUCCUCCUAAAGAGUAACGGAGGAGCACGAAGGUUGGCUAAUCCUGGUCGGACAUCAGGAGGUUAGUGCAAUGGCAUAAGCCAGCUUAACUGCGAGCGUGACGGCGCGAGCAGGUGCGAAAGCAGGUCAUAGUGAUCCGGUGGUUCUGAAUGGAAGGGCCAUCGCUCAACGGAUAAAAGGUACUCCGGGGAUAACAGGCUGAUACCGCCCAAGAGUUCAUAUCGACGGCGGUGUUUGGCACCUCGAUGUCGGCUCAUCACAUCCUGGGGCUGAAGUAGGUCCCAAGGGUAUGGCUGUUCGCCAUUUAAAGUGGUACGCGAGCUGGGUUUAGAACGUCGUGAGACAGUUCGGUCCCUAUCUGCCGUGGGCGCUGGAGAACUGAGGGGGGCUGCUCCUAGUACGAGAGGACCGGAGUGGACGCAUCACUGGUGUUCGGGUUGUCAUGCCAAUGGCACUGCCCGGUAGCUAAAUGCGGAAGAGAUAAGUGCUGAAAGCAUCUAAGCACGAAACUUGCCCCGAGAUGAGUUCUCCCUGAGACUUAGAGUCUCCUGAAGGAACGUUGAAGACGACGACGUUGAUAGGCCGGGUGUGUAAGCGCAGCGAUGCGUUGAGCUAACCGGUACUAAUGAACCGUGAGGCUUAACCUU
This 2902-nucleotide ribosomal RNA is filed under the name Escherichia coli KTE224. RNAcentral describes it as "bacterial LSU rRNA". It matches the Rfam family "Bacterial large subunit ribosomal RNA". Lineage: Bacteria; Pseudomonadati; Pseudomonadota; Gammaproteobacteria; Enterobacterales; Enterobacteriaceae. The record is from RNAcentral.